GAGGAUAGAGGUUGAAAAGUAUCCGCCUCCAACGCGCCACUUAGCUAGUGGGUCGAGAAAUGCGGGCGACAUUCGGCGGUCCCGCGCCUAUCCUU
Molecule: non-coding RNA, 95 nt
Submitted as: unclassified sequences
Source: Rfam